Molecule: long non-coding RNA, 1139 nt
Organism: Ictalurus punctatus (channel catfish)
Lineage: Eukaryota; Metazoa; Chordata; Actinopteri; Siluriformes; Ictaluridae
Source: Ensembl
UAUAUAUAUAUACAUAUACACAACUUCUCACUGGUGAAAUUUUGGACUUGAUGCCUCUUCAGGAGUUCUUCUUCUUUUAAGCUGAUUUGUGUUGAAUCUGUUGAAAUGGGUUUCUAGUACGUUUCCGGUGUUCCGCUGUUGUCCGAGACCCCAUGUAAGAUCAGGAUUUAUUCCUUAAGAGUUGUUCAGAUUCGAGCUCGUUUCAGCAGGCGGUCCUCUCGUGUCUGUGAGAACUCGCUGUGGAAUGUUCCAGUACUUUUGCAAAGCAGCAUCGUAUUGCUGUUCUCCGGUUCUGAAUGUUGCGUCUGUCUGUGGAAGGAGAUCAAACCUGCAGGAAGAGAAACGGUCUUAAGUGUCUUCACCCUUUCCUCUUUCCGUCUCGCUGAUCGGGUCACGGUGUAAAUUUGACCCCAAUUUGAAUCGUUUCUCCCCCUCCCCCACCUUGUAUACGUCAUCCUUUUGCUUCAUCAUCCUAAAUGUUCCUGUCUGUACAUAACCUUAUUUAUAUUUCAUUCCUUUCCGCCGCCUUGCUUAUUUUAUUAUUCUUAUACAUUUGUAUAAUAAACUGUACUUGGACCAUUUUUUCUUCUUUUUUUUCUUUUUUUUUUAUAUAAAGUAUUAGAAUUUUUUCCCAUUUUUUUAAAAGUUUGUUGUUAUUAUUAUUAUUAUUAUUAUUAUUAUUAUUAUAUUAUUAUUAUUAUUGUCUUAAAAUCUUAUUUUAAUUUCCAUCUGUUUUUAUAGUGUUAUUCAAAAUUUUGAAUAUAUGUGUAUAUAAUUAUAUAUAUAUAUAAUUUUAAAAAAUUAUAUAUAAUUAUAUAAUGCUAAAUGGCCUUUCUAAGCAAGGAACUGUUCCAAUCUAAUAAAAUGCUUGAGAUUUUAUCACUGGUUCGAGUCUGAGUGGAAUGACUUUGUGUAAUUGUGUAUGUUUAUAAAUUUAUAAUUGAAAUAAAAUGAUCAGUAGUCGUUGUGGUUAUCUCACUAAUUAAUUUGUCUGCCUUUUUUUGUUGUUGUUUUGUUUGUUGUUUUUUGUGGUAGAAACCACAGAUUCUACUUGGACAGUAUUGUGUUCUUCAUAAUCCCAGGUUUUAACUAAAAAUAGAUGAUUGAUUUGGCCAAUUUUUUUUUAGAUCUGGCCCGUC